Molecule: RNA transcript, 978 nt
Organism: Mandrillus leucophaeus (drill)
Lineage: Eukaryota; Metazoa; Chordata; Mammalia; Primates; Cercopithecidae
Gene name: coiled-coil domain-containing protein 86 pseudogene
Exons: 1
Source: RefSeq, a predicted model, not a curated record
CGCCUCAGCAACAGCCCCUCCUGCGCGUCACGGACGUGGCGACUCAUGACGUCAUAGGAAGGCGCCGGUUGUCGGCGGGGUCUGCACGUGUGCAGGGGUGUGGAAACUUACCCGCUGAGGCAUGGAUACACCGCUAAGGCGCAGCCGACGGCUGGGAGGCCUAAGGCCCGAAUCCCCCGAGAGCCUCACCUCAGUUUCGCGGGUGAGACGGGCCCUUGUGGAGUUGCAGUCGAACCCAGAAGAAACAAGGGAGCCUGGGUCUCCUCCUAGUGUGCAGCAAGCUGGCCUGGGGUCCCCGGAAAGACCGCCGGAGACAAGCCCAGGAUCACCCCGUCUGCCACAGGGUGCAGGCUUGGAGUCCCCCCAAGUGCAGCCAGAGCCAGGCCCAGGGUCCCCCCAGCGUCAGCAAGACCUACACCUGGAGUCGCCUCAAAGACAGCCGGAGUCCCGUCCUGAAUCCCCACGAUGUCAGCCGAAGUCAAGUGAGGAGGCAUCAAAGUGUUCUCAGGACCAGGGAGUACUGGCCUCGGAGUUGGCCCAGAGUAAGGAGGAGCUGACCCCGGGGGCCCCCCAGCAUCAGCUACCGCCGGGCCCAGGAUCACCAGAGCCUUACCCCGGUCAGCAAGCUCCCGGUCCGGAGCCCUCUCAGCCACUACUGGAGCUGACACCCAAGGCACCUGGCUCCCCGCGGGGUCAGCAUGAGCCGAGCAAGCCACCUCCAGCUGGGGAGACGGUGACAGGCGGCCUCGGGGCAAAGAAGCGAAAAGGUUCUUCAUCCCAGGCCCCAGCGUCCAAGAAGUUGAACAAAGAGGAGCUUCCUGUAAUCCCGAAGGGGAAGCCCAAAUCGGGGCGAGUUUGGAAGGACCGCUCCAAGAAAAGGUGAAGUAGGGGACAGCUUGGACAGGGGUGGCGUUCUCUAUGGUGUUGGGACCCCGCCUUUGCCCUGCUGCAGCCUGGAGAAUAGCCCCAGGGUUAGAG